Molecule: ribosomal RNA, 256 nt
Filed under: uncultured bacterium
Lineage: Bacteria
Description: partial 16S ribosomal RNA
Rfam family: Bacterial small subunit ribosomal RNA
Source: RNAcentral
UACGUAGGCAGCAAGCGUUGUUCGGAGUUACUGGGCGUAAAGGGUGCGUAGGCGGUUGUCUAAGUUUGGUGUGAAAUCUCCCGGCUCAACUGGGAGGGUGCGCCGAAUACUGAAUGACUAGAGUGCGGGAGAGGUGAGUGGAAUUCCUGGUGUAGCGGUGAAAUGCGUAGAGUAUCAGGAGGAACACCGGUGGUCGUAGACGGCUCACUGGACCGGUAACUGACGCUGAGACACGAAAGCGUGGGUAGCAAACAGG